AAUCAACGCUGGCGGCGUGCCUAACACAUGCAAGUCGAACGCGAGAGGGGGCUUCGGCCCCGAUUGAGUGGCGAACGGGUGAGUAACGCGUGGGUGACCUACCUUCGAGUGGGGGAUAACGUCCCGAAAGGGACGCUAAUACCGCAUAACAUCCUGUCUUUUGAAUGGGUGGAGAUCAAAGCCGGGGAUCGCAAGACCUGGCGCUUGAUGGAGGGGCCCGCGUCUGAUUAGCUAGUUGGNGAGGUAACGGCCCACCAAGGCAACGAUCAGUAUCCGGCCUGAGAGGGCGGACGGACACACUGGGACUGAGACACGGCCCAGACUCCUACGGGAGGCAGCAGUGGGGAAUUGUUCGCAAUGGGCGCAAGCCUGACGACGCAACGCCGCGUGGA
Molecule: ribosomal RNA, 392 nt
Filed under: uncultured bacterium
Lineage: Bacteria
Description: bacterial SSU rRNA
Rfam family: Bacterial small subunit ribosomal RNA
Source: RNAcentral